Molecule: non-coding RNA, 61 nt
Organism: Rhizobium sp. Root483D2
Lineage: Bacteria; Pseudomonadati; Pseudomonadota; Alphaproteobacteria; Hyphomicrobiales; Rhizobiaceae
Source: Rfam
ACCUGAUACCGGGCCCCUCUGGCGAGAAUUUACGGCGCUCUCGUGAUGUCGGUAUUACCCC